UCAAAUGUCUUUGUGGUAUAAAUAUAUUACAAUUUGCUUGACGCAGACUGAAUACUAAUCUGGACAUGGGGGCAGUACCCAUCGCCUCCACCAUAAACACUUGGAGAAGUAUAUGUUUAAAUGGUUAUCAAAGACUAGACUUGUUGUGAUUACAAGAGACUAUUUCAGAGAAAGAAACCGUAAAGCAGAUGCUAAAAUUCCAAAGUAUCUAUCGGGAACACGAAGUGUUUAUGAUGGGGGCGAACUAGGUUCGACAGGUAGGAAUAGGAAAGUUUAGAAUUGUGGGUUGACUGCCUAAUAGGUCAAAAACUAUAAUUGCAAACGACAAUUAUGUUCCUGUGGAUUACGCUCUAGCAGCCUAAUCGCACUGAGUUUUGAGGGUGUACUUGUAAACAGAAACAUCCUCACCUUAUAGACGUUCAUCCCUUUGGGACGGAAGUAGCAUUAUGCGAA
RNAcentral lists this transfer-messenger RNA (453 nucleotides) under Methylophilales phage Melnitz EXVC044M. RNAcentral describes it as "SsrA". The stretch from base 1 to 407 matches the Rfam family "Alphaproteobacteria transfer-messenger RNA". From Rfam's summary of the family: Bacterial tmRNA, also known as 10Sa RNA or SsrA, is named for its dual tRNA and mRNA-like properties. Its role is to liberate the mRNA from a stalled ribosome. The record is from RNAcentral. Lineage: Duplodnaviria; Heunggongvirae; Uroviricota; Caudoviricetes; Pantevenvirales; Kyanoviridae. RNAcentral also lists the same sequence under 3 other names.